GACGAACGCUGGCGGCGUGCUUAACACAUGCAAGUCGAACGGAAAGGCCCUGCUUUUGUGGGGUGCUCGAGUGGCGAACGGGUGAGUAACACGUGAGUAACCUGCCCUUGACUUUGGGAUAACUUCAGGAAACUGGGGCUAAUACCGGAUAGGAGCUCCUGCUGCAUGGUGGGGGUUGGAAAGUUUCGGCGGUUGGGGAUGGACUCGCGGCUUAUCAGCUUGUUGGUGGGGUAGUGGCUUACCAAGGCUUUGACGGGUAGCCGGCCUGAGAGGGUGACCGGACAAAUUGGGACUGAGAUACGGCCCAGACUCAUACGGGAGGCAGCAGUGGGGAAUAUUGCACAAUGGGAGGAAGCAUGAUGCAGCAACGCCGCGUGCGGGAUGACGGCCUUCGGGUUGUAAACCGAUUUCGCCUGUGACGAAGCGUGAGUGACGGUAAUGGGUAAAGAAGCACCGGCUAACUACGUG
Molecule: ribosomal RNA, 468 nt
Filed under: uncultured bacterium
Lineage: Bacteria
Description: partial 16S ribosomal RNA
Rfam family: Bacterial small subunit ribosomal RNA
Source: RNAcentral